AGGGAAAUAGGCAUCCCGUAUGGUCAGGUGUGAGGCCCCUAGGGUAUCCAGGUGUCUGUGUGAAGGGGCUGGGCCACGGCUCCCCUCUGCAGGCAAGGAUGCUGGAACUCCUCCUAGGCGAAGAGGAGGCUCCCCUGGCCACUCACCCAGGGAUGGAGCGUGAUAGAGCAUCAGGUAUGUUUCAAGGUUCUGGUGCAAGGGGCAGGAGGCACCAGAGAAAGACAGGCAGGUUAAUAUCUGCCCAGCGAUUAGUGUUUACUUCUGGUAUCCUAGUCACCCACUGUGUUCCUUAAUUUGCAUACCAUCCCCAUUCCUCUGAGGCCCAGAAAGGGGCCCAGCUAGUAGGUGGCGAAGCAGCACUCCAACCAAGGGCAGCCCUUCCCCAGAACCAGCACUGGAUGCGGAGGUGCUGCAAAAGCCAGCCAUGGAGGCACCUCCAGAGGCCUGAGUCUGUGAGUUCCAGUGAGCUGCCCACUCUCUGGGUCCAGCAAGUUUUCCUCUGUGUCCAACCCACUCUCCACAGGGGUCUGCAUGAGUCCUGCUUGGACACACAGACUCCGUUUCAUGUGUGGGCAGCAAGUGCGGGGUCUUGGGCUCCACCCGCCCACUCGCCCCUUUCCAGGUGUCCCUGAUGACAGAUCCGACUGCAGACCCCAGAGCGGCUUCCUGAGCUGAAGGGCCCUGGAGCCCACCCCUGUGUCCUCCCCUUCCAGUGCCAGAGAGAAGUGCUCUCAUUCACAGCCGCAGCAAUGACAACGUCAGUCACAGUAAUGGUAUUGCUGUUUAUUGACCGUUCGCUGCAUACCGGAUACUGUUGUGCACUUCACACACCUUUCUUCUAAUUCUUAGAACAACCGUGAACGGUGAAUAUUACUAAUGCUUGCACUGCAGAUGGAACGGGUGAGGCUGAGGGCGGUUCAUUACCCAGUGGGGCUGUGGCACAGCGGGCACGAGCCUGGCUGUGUCUACUCACGGAGCCACUCUUCCCCACGGGGCUGUGAGGCCCCCGCGUGCACGACACCCUUAGACGUUUGACCCACACCACUGCCCACAUCACUGCCGAGCCUUGUGACGGCACAGUGACCCCACUUACAAUGCAGGCAGAUGCGGGUAGUUGUGAACACAGGAAGAAUCCUAGCGCCUAUCAUGCAAAUGCGUGCGGACAUUGUGCUGGGUCUCCUGGAACAAAGGGCCGCCUGUUCCUGUAAUUCCUGUAAUUCUGCUGGAAAACCCCAUGACCACACAGCUAGUCAAUGGAAGAUCUGGGGUUCGAACCCAGGCCUCUCUGGCUUUCCAAAGCCCUCGCUCUUUCUGCCAUCCCCAAAGGCAGGUGCUGCUGGCCUCACCCACUGGUAAUGCACAGUCUGGAGGAAGCCCUACUGGGAUAUGGAGUCGCACUUGCACCCUUCAGGAACCAGGUGUCUGUGGCAAUGACAAUGGCACUGUCACCAGAAGAAAGGCAUUUUCUCUGUGUUUCCAAAGUAGAAGGGGUUCGCAGGGAACCAUCCGCAUGUCCCCACCUGUCUGCCUGCCUGCUACUUGCAGACCAGCUGGCAUCACAGAAGCCCUAAGUGGCCACCUCCACUCUCGACUGGAGCCUUGACUGGAGCAGGGCUGGGUCUGGCCCAAGAAACCGAGGUGCAAAUGCUGAGCAAAUACAGAUCUGUGGAGGAUCCCCCAGGACACCCUGCCGUAUUCCAGAGCCCAAGGAAGUCCAAACCCUCCCAAUUGUACUCCACCUUCCAAAGAUAGCAGGCCCCGCCCACCUGUGCCUGGGCCAAGGCUCAGGCUGAGGGUUCCCUAUUGACUUCGCGAUUUCUGGCACAUCCCCAUUGCACAGAGUGCCCGGCAUGGGGGGAUGGAAGCAGCUGUGAGAACAAGAGGGAGAAAACUUUACUGCUUUUCCAUGCUUCCAUUCCAUCCUCUAAGAAUUUAAGCAAAGCAAAGACGGCGUUGCCUGCUCCCAGCACUCAGAGCAUGCGAGCCAAUCAGCCAGGGACCUCGCCGUCCACCUUGCUUUCCAGCAUGUGGGCUCCGGGCUCCGUGGGCAACAGGGAUGAAGCAGAGCUCUGGGGUUGAGUGUGACCCACCACACAAGGGCCUGUAGGGAAGGAGCUCUGUCCCCAGCUCUGCCCACAUUCACAGCUGUGUAACCUCAAGCAAGUCACUUCCCACCUCUGGGCCUUGGUUUCCUUUCCUAAUAAAUACGUAUGGCCGCCCUAGAGGACCACCAAGGCUUUGCCCUCCCCCCCGGAUGCUGUGAUCUCCAGUUCUACCCAUGCUGAGGGGCCAGUUGUGGAAGGAGUUUGCUUGGACAGCGCAGGGAGUCCUCCCCGCGUCAGGCUGGGGACAAUCAUCUGCUAUGGCUACUGCAUGUUGAAGCAGAUGUCUAUGGUCGAGAUGAUGGUACGACCUCCCAGAAGGAUCCCGAGGGGUCUCUGGAGGUGGAGCCUAGAGACAGAGAACAUGCUCCGAGGACCUCCAGGCUGGGAAGACGUCGUUGCUCUGAGAUGGAGCCCAGAGACACAGUUGUGGGUGAGUCACCAGGGAUAACGAGCUUUGAGACAGGAACACUCAGAUGUCUUCUGACACCCUUCCCAAGCCCUAAUGAGACCAGUCGUGCACCCAGGCCCCGAGGGUAGCCCAGAGCCAUGGGUAAGGGGUCUAGCUUCACCCUGGGGCAGCCCAACCUUGGAGGCCACUGGCUAGUGACUGUGUUUCCCGCCCUGACCCCAGCUCAGAAGAGCUGGGGCUGGAAACCGUGCCCCACAUGCUGCGGGAGCUCCCUGGCUGUUCUUGGAAAUGCAGAGACUCCUGGCACCUCCUCAGCACUGCUCCCUUCUCUAAUAAGCCCCGGAGUCCCUGCCACGACACCUUCCCCUCAGAAGGCACUGGGGUCUCUGUAAUUGUAACGUGAUGUCCCUUGCAGCAGUAUUAAUCACCCCUCCAGCACCAGCCCCAGCCAAGAGAGAAGGAACAGGGUGGGCAGGCAGAACCAGAGGGGCCUGGUGUUGCUAAAUAUCCCCACCCAAGGGCAAAGGCAAAGCUGCCUGUCCUGUGCCUUCCUCAAGCCCAGUCAUGCUUCCUGGAUAUGCCUGGGUUUGGACUUCAUUUGAGUUGUCCCUGAGUGAGGAGCGUUGACCAGGGGCUGUAGCUCCCUUUGGCCACAACAGAGGAACUGUGCUGAGCUCGCCCUGUGUAAAGAGACAGGCCCACGGGCCCAGAGGCUGGAUGGAGGAGACAGGGGGAAGCUGGAACCCAGGCUUCUCUCCUCCCCUUCCUAACCAAUCUGCACCUGCUUUCCAAGCCCAUCCCCCAAAGCCAGGGCUUGAGGCUGUCAUGGCCUUGCUCAGGAUUCCUUCAACGACUUUCCUUAAGAAUAAAUCCUAGGCUCUUGCCCUUUACCUUUGACCUUCUUAAACCACGCCUGCUACUCUUCUACGGGGAGGCUACACUCUAGCUGGAGUUGAUCUGUCCUGUGGACUUCCCCAGCUUCCCACCGUAUGUUAUCAUCCCUAUUCCCUCAUCUUUGAAUGUCGCCAUCUCUCCACCUGCCCUCAUUUCCUGCUGUCCACAUCCUACCAACCCUGCAUGGGGCACAGUCUACCUCCCAAAAGAGGCUGUCCCUGACUGCAUGAGCUUGUGGGCCCUCUUUCCUUGGCACUCCCACAGAGUCUGACAAGAUGACAUCCGUAACUCAUUUUUAUUAUAGAGCGGGGAGUGUCGGAGAUCCCUGGGGAAGGCAGACAGGUGAGACCAGAAGUUUUCAGCACUCACUGGGUGUGGGCAUCUAUGCUGUGCAAAUAAGCUGGACACUGCAGGUGUCCCUCCAAGAGGAACAGAUCACAGUGGGCCAAAGGUGGGUUUCAAAAGCAUAAUGUUUCUCCCACUGAACGCACAUCCAUAGUCAGUGCUCUGCAACACCGGCCGAAUGAAUAAACACUGUGCUAGCAGAGUGACACUGGGACAUGGCAUGGUUCCCACCAAGAUGGUGUCUGCAGGGUGAGCUAGGGGAAGGUUAGGUUGAGAUUUUAAGCUGGAGAAGUAGCUGAAGAAAGCAGGACCAGCCUUAAUAUCUGGCAAGAGAAUAUACUAAGACAAGCCACAUGAAGCUUCCAAACACGGAAGCCGGAGAGACCCAGAGAGAAGUGAAGUUACCUCACAGUCAGAGGGAGACGGCUGAGAGCCCAGGAAGGGAUCUGGGGUCGGUGUUAGCGAGCAGAGGCACAUCCCAGUGUGGGGAGAACCAGGUGUUCCCGGAGCUAUGGCUUAGACUGUCACUGGCCCUGCUGGGUACACUCUUCACACUAUGUGGUUAAUGAAUGGUUCACAUUUCUAUGUAUGCAUGUAUCCCCAGCACCCGGGGGCACCCUCAAUAAAUGCAAUGCUUAUGGGUGAUGGGGUGUCCGGGGCUGGUACACUGGGGAGAACGUGCCCCACUUAAGGGAGCCCCCCAGUCUAUUGUUGCCAGUGCAGAAUGUCCCAGAACUUCCAGUGUUUGAAAACAAGACUAAAAUCUGAAUUUUCACUUGAAGUCCCUUUAUUUUAAAAUGCAGGCAAUCAAUUCAUCACUGUUUGAGCCCAAACACAUCAGUGGAUCAGCCCCCGCUGGUGUCCUGCACUCACAUCAUCUAAGACACCAAGUGAAACAAACAGCCACAGUUCAAAGAGUUUUCAAAAGGCCUCCCAACAGCCCUCUGACCAAGCGGGGUGGGGUUAUUACUCCCCAGGCCCAGAGAGCUUUAUCAAUUUUCCCAAGGUCCCUCAGCUAGUUAGUAGCCAAGGAAGGAUCAGAACUCAUGUCUCAACACUUUCUCAGAGGUUCUUUCCUCAAACCCCACAAUGUCUCCGGGCCCUAAUGGGCAGCGGAGUGAAAGAGCAGUCAGAAUAAUGUAACACACAGACCUUGGCAUCAGGUCACAGUGCCCCUAGAAGAGAAAUAGACAGGCAUCAACCAGAUUGUUCCUUGAUCUGUACAAAUGGAAGAGUUGUUCUAGGUAGGUGAACAGAAGUCUAACUUGAAUCAUCAAAAUGGAGAGUCAUGGGGCGCCUGGGUGGCUCAAUCAGUUAAACAUCUGACUCUUGACUUCGGCUCAGGUCAUGAUCUCACAGUUCAUGAGUUUGAUCUCUGUGUUGGGCUUGGCGCCUGCUUGUGAUUCUCUGUCUCCCUCUAUCUCUCUGCGCUUCUGCUCAUGGACUCACUCUCUCUCAAAAAUAAAUUAAAAAAAAAAAAAUUUAAAAAUGGAGUCAUAACCCCUCACUUAGUUCUAAGGCUUGAGUCAAUUUACGGACCCAGAUGCCUUGAAGGAAGGGGAGGCUGUGUCCCCUUGGGGAAGAACCUUGCAACACUGCCAACAUUUUAUACUGUUAAUCUUUUCUCCCAGCCUUCCCCAAAGGGAUCUACAGCCUUUUACCAGGGUGACUCUGCACUGAAGUAAGAGAAACAGUCAGAUUUUUCAGGGAUUAGCAGACGUGGGCUCUGACCUGACACAGUUCCAGGGGCCCCAUCACAUUACUGUGGCCCCUAUCAGGCCUAGCAGGGGCCUGUGGAAGUCAGAUGACCAAUGGGGUUUUGAGCUCACGUCCUUCUCAUAAAGGGUCCGAUGGGUCCCCCGAACCCCUCCUGUGGCUAAUUCCCCAGCUCUGAAAUGUGUAAUUGGAGUAGAUAUACUCAGCACCUGGCAAAACCCCCACAGCACAGGACGAGCUGGAUUCCUUUGAGCUAUUAAGAAAAUAUACCCCAAACCUGGAAAUAAGGCACAAAGCCAUCUAAGGCUCAGCUGAGUCUCUAGGGGAGUGUAUUUUAUUUACUGUUUACUGUCCGUAAGGGAGCCAGCCCUGUGAGAGAGAUGUCACGGGGAGAAAAUUGAGAAUACACAAUGACUUCCAUCCAGUAAGGAAGAUAGUCCCAAACUUUACGACUUCAUUGCCCUGUAAGACAUGAAUAAGCUUUGUAUCUAGUUUAGCAAUCAUUCUAGCUGCUUUCUUCCUUCCACCGAUAAUCUACCUAUUUCUCGCCUUUCUCUUUUGAACCUGGUUUUGUCAUCCCACCGGUUCCCUCACUAAUGACUUAAAUAAAUCUUUGACAUGUCA
This is a long non-coding RNA of Felis catus (domestic cat), 6093 nucleotides long. RefSeq lists it as uncharacterized. The transcript is spliced from 2 exons. The record is from RefSeq and is a predicted model, not a curated record. Lineage: Eukaryota; Metazoa; Chordata; Mammalia; Carnivora; Felidae.